GUCAAAGUGAAGAAAUUCAACGAAGCGCGGGUAAACGGCGGGAGUA
This 46-nucleotide ribosomal RNA is filed under the name Lepidurus couesii. Its description in RNAcentral is "partial 28S ribosomal RNA". Lineage: Eukaryota; Metazoa; Arthropoda; Branchiopoda; Notostraca; Triopsidae. The record is from RNAcentral.